RNAcentral lists this ribosomal RNA (253 nucleotides) under uncultured bacterium. Its description in RNAcentral is "partial 16S ribosomal RNA". It matches the Rfam family "Bacterial small subunit ribosomal RNA", at positions 524 to 776 of the family's 1533-position model. The record is from RNAcentral.
UACGUAGGGGGCAAGCGUUGUCCGGAUUUAUUGGGCGUAAAGAGCGUGUAGGCGGCCGUGUAGGUCUGACGUGAAAUCUGGGGGCUCAACCUCCAGCUGUCGUUGGAAACCGCUCGGCUAGAGUCCGGAAGAGGAGAGUGGAAUUCCUGGUGUAGCGGUGAAAUGCGCAGAUAUCAGGAAGAACACCUAUGGCGAAGGCAGCUCUCUGGGACGGUACUGACGCUGAGACGCGAAAGCGUGGGGAGCGAACAGG